RNAcentral lists this ribosomal RNA (461 nucleotides) under Pinnularia borealis. RNAcentral's name for it is "eukaryotic LSU rRNA". It matches the Rfam family "Eukaryotic large subunit ribosomal RNA", at positions 78 to 510 of the family's 3401-position model. Lineage: Eukaryota; Bacillariophyta; Bacillariophyceae; Sellaphorales; Pinnulariaceae. The record is from RNAcentral.
ACAUAGUAAGGGCGACUGAAAUGUCACGAGCUCAGCAUGUGAAUCAGCGUUUGCUCUAGUGAGCGCUGAAUUGUGGUCUUACGGUUGUUGCGCCAAUUCGUCCAGACCAUGUUUUUUGGAAUAAAAUAGCACAGAGGGUGAAACUCCCGUUUGUCUGGUCACACGAAGCAAGAACUACUGAGUCGAGUUGUUUGGGAUUGCAGCUCAAAUGCGGUGGUAAAUUCCAUCUCAAGCUAAAUAUUGGUAGGAAACCGAUAGCGAACAAGUACCGUGAGGGAAAGAUGCAAAGAACUUUGAAAAGAGAGUGAAAGAGUACCUGAAAUUGCUGAAAAGGAAGCGAACGAAGCUAGUGAACGCUCUGUCAUACUUUCCUACUUGCUUGCAAGUCGGACGCUGUGGCAAGCCCUGUUCGAUUUGAUUGCUCCAUGUGAAAGCAGGCAAAGAAAAGACACCCAUUCUCU